GAAUGAAGAACGUAGUGAAAUGCGAUAAGUAAUGUGAAUUGCAGAAUUCAGUGAAUCAUCGAAUCUUUGAACGCACAUUGCGCCCGCUGGUAUUCCGGCGGGCAUGCCUGUUCGAGCGUCAUUUCAACCCUCAAGCUCUCCGGAGUUUGGUGUUGGGGCGCCUGGGGCUUUUCGACCUCAGGGCCCUCAAGUCCAUCGGCGGGACCGCCAGGACACUGAGCGCAGUAGUAUUAUUUCGCUCGGUAGGAUCUUCCACGGCGGGUCGAUCUGGCCGCUAAACCCCCCAAUUCUCACCAAAGGUUGACCUCGGAUCAGGUAGGAAUACCCGCUGAACUUAAGCAUAUCAAUAAGCGGAGGA
RNAcentral lists this unclassified non-coding RNA (358 nucleotides) under soil metagenome. RNAcentral's name for it is "partial contains 5.8S ribosomal RNA, internal transcribed spacer 2, and large subunit ribosomal RNA". The stretch from base 3 to 121 matches the Rfam family "5.8S ribosomal RNA", at positions 36 to 154 of the family's 154-position model. The record is from RNAcentral.